GCUGGGUGCGGUGGCACAUGCCUGUAAUCCCAGCUACUCAGGAGGCUGAGGCAGGAGAAUCGCUUGAACCUAGGAGGCGGAGGUUGCAGUGAGCCGAGAUCGUGCCAUUGUACUCCAGCCUGGGUGACAGAGUGAGACUCUGUCUCCAAAAAAAAAAAGAAUCUUAGACCUUUUUUUUUUUUUUUUUGAGACAGUCUCGCUCUGUCACCAGGCGCCAGGCUGGAGUGCAGUGAUGCGAUCUUGACUCACUGCAACCUCCACCUCCUGGGUUCAAGCAAUUCUGCCUCA
Molecule: signal recognition particle RNA, 288 nt
Filed under: Saimiri boliviensis boliviensis (Bolivian squirrel monkey)
Lineage: Eukaryota; Metazoa; Chordata; Mammalia; Primates; Cebidae
Description: Metazoan signal recognition particle RNA (ENSSBOG00000000879.1)
Rfam family: Metazoan signal recognition particle RNA
About the family: The signal recognition particle (SRP) is a universally conserved ribonucleoprotein. It is involved in the co-translational targeting of proteins to membranes. The eukaryotic SRP consists of a 300-nucleotide 7S RNA and six proteins: SRPs 72, 68, 54, 19, 14, and 9.
Source: RNAcentral